GUCCCCAUCGUCUAGUCUGGUCCAGGACACCGGCCUUUCACGCCGGCAACAGGGGUUCGAAUCCCCUUGGGGACGCCA
RNAcentral lists this transfer RNA (78 nucleotides) under Deltaproteobacteria bacterium. RNAcentral describes it as "tRNA-Glu". It matches the Rfam family "tRNA". From Rfam's summary of the family: Transfer RNA (tRNA) molecules are approximately 80 nucleotides in length. Their secondary structure includes four short double-helical elements and three loops (D, anti-codon, and T loops). Lineage: Bacteria; Pseudomonadati; Myxococcota; Myxococcia. The record is from RNAcentral. RNAcentral also lists the same sequence under 2 other names.